CUCCGGUUGAUCCUGCCGGACCCGACUGCUAUCAGAGUGGGACUAAGCCAUGCGAGUCAACAUAGCAAUAUGUGGCAUACGGCUCAGUAACACGUAGUCAACAUGCCCAGGGGACGUGGAUAACCUCGGGAAACUGAGGAUAAACCGCGAUAAGUCACUACUUCUGGAAUGGGUAAUGACUCAAAUCUACAUGGCCCCUGGAUUGGACUGCGGCCGAUCAGGCUGUUGGUGAGGUAAUGGCCCACCAAACCUGUAACCGGUACGGGCUCUGAGAGGAGGAGCCCGGAGAUGGGCACUGAGACAAGGGCCCAGGCCCUAUGGGGCGCAGCAGGCGCGAAACCUCUGCAAUAGGCGAAAGCCUGACAGGGUUACUCUGAGUGAUUUCCGUUAAGGAGAUCUUUUGGCACCUCUAAAAAUGGUGCAGAAUAAGGGGUGGGCAAGUCUGGUGUCAGCCGCCGCGGUAAUACCAGCACCCCGAGUGGUCGGGACGUUUAUUGGGCCUAAAGCAUCCGUAGCCGGUUCUACAAGUCUUCCGUUAAAUCCACCUGCUUAACAGAUGGGCUGCGGAAGAUACUAUAGAGCUAGGAGGCGGGAGAGGCAAGCGGUACUCGAUGGGUAGGGGUAAAAUCCGUUGAUCCAUUGAAGACCACCAGUGGCGAAGGCGGCUUGCCAGAACGCGCUCGACGGUGAGGGAUGAAAGCUGGGGGAGCAAACCGGAUUAGAUACCCGGGUAGUCCCAGCUGUAAACGAUGCAGACUCGGUGAUGAGUUGGCUUCUUGCCAACUCAGUGCCGCAGGGAAGCCGUUAAGUUUGCCGCCUGGGGAGUACGGUCGCAAGACUGAAACUUAAAGGAAUGGCGGGGGGAGCA
Molecule: ribosomal RNA, 868 nt
Filed under: uncultured archaeon
Lineage: Archaea
Description: bacterial SSU rRNA
Rfam family: Archaeal small subunit ribosomal RNA
Source: RNAcentral